Molecule: ribosomal RNA, 1697 nt
Filed under: Staphylococcus epidermidis
Lineage: Bacteria; Bacillati; Bacillota; Bacilli; Caryophanales; Staphylococcaceae
Description: bacterial LSU rRNA
Rfam family: Bacterial large subunit ribosomal RNA
Source: RNAcentral
GCGUUCUAAGGGCGUCGAAGCAUGAUCGCAAGGACAUGUGGAGCGCUUAGAAGUGAGAAUGCCGGUGUGAGUAGCGAAAGACGGGUGAGAAUCCCGUCCACCGAUUGACUAAGGUUUCCAGAGGAAGGCUCGUCCGCUCUGGGUUAGUCGGGUCCUAAGCUGAGGCCGACAGGCGUAGGCGAUGGAUAACAGGUUGAUAUUCCUGUACCACCUAGUAUCGUUUUAAUCGAUGGGGGGACGCAGUAGGAUAGGCGAAGCGUGCUGUUGGAGUGCACGUCCAAGCAGUAAGGCUGAGUGUUAGGCAAAUCCGGCACUCAUAAGGCUGAGCUGUGAUGGGGAGAGGAAAUUGUUUCCUCGAGUCGUUGAUUUCACACUGCCGAGAAAAGCCUCUAGAUAGAUAACAGGUGCCCGUACCGCAAACCGACACAGGUAGUCAAGAUGAGAAUUCUAAGGUGAGCGAGCGAACUCUCGUUAAGGAACUCGGCAAAAUGACCCCGUAACUUCGGGAGAAGGGGUGCUCUUUAGGGUUCACGCCCAGAAGAGCCGCAGUGAAUAGGCCCAAGCGACUGUUUAUCAAAAACACAGGUCUCUGCUAAACCGUAAGGUGAUGUAUAGGGGCUGACGCCUGCCCGGUGCUGGAAGGUUAAGAGGAGUGGUUAGCUUCUGCGAAGCUACGAAUCGAAGCCCCAGUAAACGGCGGCCGUAACUAUAACGGUCCUAAGGUAGCGAAAUUCCUUGUCGGGUAAGUUCCGACCCGCACGAAAGGCGUAACGAUUUGGGCACUGUCUCAACGAGAGACUCGGUGAAAUCAUAGUACCUGUGAAGAUGCAGGUUACCCGCGACAGGACGGAAAGACCCCGUGGAGCUUUACUGUAGCCUGAUAUUGAAAUUCGGCACAGCUUGUACAGGAUAGGUAGGAGCCUUUGAAACGUGAGCGCUAGCUUACGUGGAGGCGUUGGUGGGAUACUACCCUAGCUGUGUUGGCUUUCUAACCCGCACCACUUAUCGUGGUGGGAGACAGUGUCAGGCGGGCAGUUUGACUGGGGCGGUCGCCUCCUAAAAGGUAACGGAGGCGCUCAAAGGUUCCCUCAGAAUGGUUGGAAAUCAUUCAUAGAGUGUAAAGGCAUAAGGGAGCUUGACUGCGAGACCUACAAGUCGAGCAGGGUCGAAAGACGGACUUAGUGAUCCGGUGGUUCCGCAUGGAAGGGCCAUCGCUCAACGGAUAAAAGCUACCCCGGGGAUAACAGGCUUAUCUCCCCCAAGAGUUCACAUCGACGGGGAGGUUUGGCACCUCGAUGUCGGCUCAUCGCAUCCUGGGGCUGUAGUCGGUCCCAAGGGUUGGGCUGUUCGCCCAUUAAAGCGGUACGCUAGCUGGGUUCAGAACGUCGUGAGACAGUUCGGUCCCUAUCCGUCGUGGGCGUAGGAAAUUUGAGAGGAGCUGUCCUUAGUACGAGAGGACCGGGAUGGACAUACCUCUGGUGUACCAGUUGUCGUGCCAACGGCAUAGCUGGGUAGCUAUGUAUGGACGGGAUAAGUGCUGAAAGCAUCUAAGCAUGAAGCCCCCCUCAAGAUGAGAUUUCCCAACUUCGGUUAUAAGAUCCCUCGAAGAUGACGAGGUUAAUAGGUUCGAGGUGGAAGCGUGGUGACACGUGGAGCUGACGAAUACUAAUCGAUCGAAGACUUAAUCAAUUUUUAAA